UGGGAAACCGUAGCCCUGUACCGGGGGAGUAACACUUAGAAAUAGGUGCUAAUACCGCAUAAGCGCACAGCCUCACAUGAGGCAGUGUGAAAAACUACCGGUGGUACAGGAUGGUCCCGCGUCUGAUUAGCCAGUUGGCAGGGUAACGGCCUACCAAAGCGACGAUCAGUAGCCGGCCUGAGAGGGUGAACGGCCACAUUGGGACUGAGACACGGCCCAGACUCCUACGGGAGGCAGCAUG
Molecule: ribosomal RNA, 241 nt
Filed under: uncultured bacterium
Lineage: Bacteria
Description: partial 16S ribosomal RNA
Rfam family: Bacterial small subunit ribosomal RNA
Source: RNAcentral